CCUACGGGAGGCAGCAGUGAGGAAUAUUGGUCAAUGGACGAGAGUCUGAACCAGCCAAGUAGCGUGAAGGAUGACUGCCCUAUGGGUUGUAAACUUCUUUUAUAUGGGAAUAAAAUGUUCCACGUGUGGGAUUUUGUAUGUACCAUAUGAAUAAGGAUCGGCUAACUCCGUGCCAGCAGCCGCGGUAAUACGGAGGAUCCGAGCGUUAUCCGGAUUUAUUGGGUUUAAAGGGAGCGUAGGUGGAUUGUUAAGUCAGUUGUGAAAGUUUGCGGCUCAACCGUAAAAUUGCAGUUGAAACUGGCAGUCUUGAGUACAGUAGAGGUGGGCGGAAUUCGUGGUGUAGCGGUGAAAUGCUUAGAUAUCACGAAGAACUCCGAUUGCGAAGGCAGUUCACUGGACUGCAACUGACACUGAGGCUCGAAAGUGUGGGUAUCAAACAGGAUUAGAUACCCCUGUAGGUC
RNAcentral lists this ribosomal RNA (461 nucleotides) under uncultured bacterium. RNAcentral describes it as "partial 16S ribosomal RNA". It matches the Rfam family "Bacterial small subunit ribosomal RNA", at positions 338 to 796 of the family's 1533-position model. The record is from RNAcentral.